RNAcentral lists this ribosomal RNA (450 nucleotides) under uncultured bacterium. Its description in RNAcentral is "partial 16S ribosomal RNA". It matches the Rfam family "Bacterial small subunit ribosomal RNA", at positions 354 to 796 of the family's 1533-position model. The record is from RNAcentral.
GUGGGGAAUAUUCCGCAAUGGACGAAAGUCUGACGGAGCAACGCCGCGUGAGUGAUGAAGGUUUUCGGACUGUAAAGCUCUGUUGUUUAGGACGAAAGUGCCUGUUGCAAAUAGUUCCAGGUAUUGACGGUACUGAACGAGGAAGCCACGGCUAACUACGUGCCAGCAGCCGCGGUAAUACGUAGGUGGCAAGCGUUGUCCGGAAUUAUUGGGCGUAAAGAGCAUGUAGGCGGGAAUCUAAGUCUGUUGUGAAAAUGCGGGGCUCAACCCCGUAUUGCGAUGGAAACUGGGUUUCUGGAGUGCAGGAGAGGAAAGGGGAAUUCCCAGUGUAGCGGUGAAAUGCGUAGAUAUUGGGAGGAACACCAGUGGCGAAGGCGCCUUUCUGGACUGUGUCUGACGCUGAGAUGCGAAAGCCAGGGUAGCGAACGGGAUUAGAAACCCUGGUAGUCC